Long non-coding RNA from Phasianus colchicus (ring-necked pheasant), 2871 nucleotides. RefSeq lists it as uncharacterized. The record is from RefSeq and is a predicted model, not a curated record. Lineage: Eukaryota; Metazoa; Chordata; Aves; Galliformes; Phasianidae.
AGAAGAGGAGGCUUAGGGGAGACCUUAUUUCUCUCUACAACUCCCAGAAAGGAGGCCAUGGUGAGGUGGGGUUCGGCCUCUUCUCCCAGCUGCUGAGAUCUGGUAGUGACUGGAGCGACAACCAGGACGGAGGCCACUGGGGGAUGGCAGGACCGAAGAGCACAACUGAACGGCUUGGAGCUGUGACUGAUCUGAAAACUAGGGAAUCUCCUGAAAGAUAAAAUGCUUUCAUCAGCACAAGCACUGAAGGCUCAGAACUAGCACUGCAGGUAACUUCCAUCUGGAAUGAGCUGAACGUGCAUUGUUACAGACCUUGUAGUGCAUCCACAACAUUUCUGAAACAGAAUGGGACCCAAAUUACUGUUAUUAAUGAAAUGCUUGCUGCUGCAGUCAGAGAAAGUGAGUUAAAUGACGUGGUGCUUUACAUUUUCUCUCGAGAGUUGGAGAAAAACACUUAGAAAUGAUUCAGACAGUUAUAUUUGGCUUUAUGUCAUUAAACAGAAGUGAUGCCAAACCUCUAAAAACUUUCUCCUUUUGCCAUGGAGUCAACUAGUUUAAAUCAGUUUCUUUAAUUCCACUGAACUCAACAGCACGAGAGCCGAUAACUUGGCCACAUGGCCCAACGAAAUUCCAUUUAAAAGUAAAUAAAUGGAUGUUAUUCUAAUACAGAAUAUCUGAAAGAGGUAAAAAUGGAGUAUAUUUUGCCAGUUGCUGGCUUAAGAGAUAGGGAAUAUUGAUUAAAUUUGUCAAUGUAACUUGGCAGGAGCAAGAAGGGAUGGUUUUAAAUGGCUCUGAGAACACAGAACAAGCAUGAGAUAAUCUACCAACAUUGGUGGGCCCGGCACAACAGACUCUGGCAGUGACUACAAUUGUUUUGUACUUCGUAGAGAUUCAUUUGGCUCUGCAAUAUGCAGACCUCAUAGGCAGAUAGAUAACUCUAGGAGCUCAGGUGUACCCAGGCUCUUUCCUUGGCUCCUCUCCCCUCCUCCCAUGAUCACUAACAGUGUGCAUGUGUAAGAGUAUGAGCCAGUCAGACCGUAAAACACUUUUUUUCCCAUGAAGAGCUUAGCCACAAGGGAUUACAGGUGUUUUCAAUACUAUUCUGAUAUCACUAUUCCUUCCAGUUCAUUUGUUUGUGGAAACACUGUAACUGUUACUGUUCCAGCUGUGAUGGAGAUUAUUUUGGUUUAUAUAAAUAAUCCAUCUACAUAAAAUCCGUAUAUUCUUCUUCUCUUUAUAACUAUUUCAUGUUUUCAACGUGUUGCCAGGAACAAAUAAAGAGAAUGGAAAAUUUACUGAGGCUGUUUGCAUCUAUAGUAACAAUCAUCACCAUAUGUGAAUCACAAGCUUUUGAGACAAAGAUGAUGAGAAACACUGUAACUGUGUUUUCAGGGAAUGUGAACCGUGACUCCAUGAGGUUCUGUGCAUGAUCCCAUCCUCUUCCUCAGCAGUUUCCCCAGCAGUGCAGAUGUCAGUCAGGUCAAAUGAGCAAGAAAGCACAUCCAGAUGACCUGAUCAAAAUCCUGCUACAGCCAGUGCAAAUACUCUGCGUCAUCCCGUUUGGAAGGGUUUUGGGGAUGGUUGACAGGAGAAACUGUGACUCACAGAGCAUCAUUACAGACACAGUGCCAAGGCACCUAGGGGCAGCAGGAGGGGGCAUUCAGGAAUCGGAGGUCCUGGCAGCAUCCACUGCAGCUUUGAAAAAGUUUCCCACAGUGCUCAUCAGUAGGAUCAAGUCCUGUUUAAUCAGACUCUGGAUAGGGAGCGAGGAUCUGGCUCAAAAAGGAGAACAGUGCCAACAAAGAUCCUUUUAUAAGAACCGUCAUGCCAGACAAAUAUGUUUUCUGUAGUAGCUGCUAUCUGCAGACUUUUUGCAUCUGGGGAAAACUGAUGCAAAACUGAUGAAUAAUCUGAGGCUGCAAUUCCAGGAACGUUUCUUCAAAAGCAGAACUGGCACGUGGUUGGUGUGGAAAUGCUGAGCUGGACCAAGGAACUGUCCAGCCUGUAAAAGGGAAACUUUGAUUCCUUCCAGAUUUUUUUUUCCAGCAGGUUCUCUUUGCCAUUUCGGUUCACCACAAAAUGAUGCCAUGCAGUUUAAUACAAUAUAACACAUUAUAGUGGCACUACACAAAUGUUAGAAAGAAUCCAUCGAUUUCUGCGUAAAUAUUAUGAAUGUUCAGUUAAUCCAUUGAGACAAAUUAUUAAAAUAAAUGUGCAUAGUAAUUUUGAUUGAGUUCAUCACCAUAUGCUACUCUUAGUAAUACCAACUAUCCAUAUUCUUGCCAUUCCAGGGUAAAAAUUACCAAGAGUGUUCCUUUUAGGUAUUUCUAUACCCUGCUGUUAAAAAAACAUCAAUGGCAGAAUUUCCACAACUCACAUGGAAGCCCAUCUCAGUGUUCAGCUGCCUUUCUAGUCUGAAAACAUUCAGUGAUGCCAACUGAAUGAUCCUUCAUUGCAUUUUAUGCCAUCUUCUCUCUGUCCUGCCAUCAAAGGUGAUGCAGAAAAGGCAUCCUGGACCCAUUGGACCAGUGCAUACAGCCACCGCUGUGGCUUAGUGUUUGAAAGCCAUAAUUAAAAUGUAUGGAGAUUUAAGCCUACAAUAACCCUUUCCAAAAAAAAUUGUCAAUGGCAAUGGGAAACAUUUUGAGCCUUUUAAUAUCCUGUUGAAAGUACUCAUCCAGAUUGACCAAAUUCUUCUUUUAGGACUCUUGGAUUCCUCACUAGUAGCAACUUCUCUCAUGACUACAGCUCCAGUUCCACACAAGGCUUAUUCUACCCUGGUAAACAAUGGCUUGGAUGGAAUUAAGCACAAUUCUAUGACAUUUCAGCUGGACUCCAGCAAUUGCCCAGAGAGGUUGUGGAUGCCCCGUC